CAGUCGCCGCGGUAACACAGAGGGUGCAAGCGUUAAUCGGAAUUACUGGGCGUAAAGCGCGCGUAGGUGGUUUGUUAAGUUGGAUGUGAAAUCCCCGGGCUCAACCUGGGAACUGCAUCCAAAACUGGCAAGCUAGAGUAUGGUAGAGGGUGGUGGAAUUUCCUGUGUAGCGGUGAAAUGCGUAGAUAUAGGAAGGAACACCAGUGGCGAAGGCGACCACCUGGACUGAUACUGACACUGAGGUGCGAAAGCGUGGGGAGCAAACAGGAUUAGAUACCCCGGUAGUCCCUGUCUCUUAUAC
This 301-nucleotide ribosomal RNA is filed under the name uncultured bacterium. RNAcentral's name for it is "partial 16S ribosomal RNA". It matches the Rfam family "Bacterial small subunit ribosomal RNA", at positions 509 to 807 of the family's 1533-position model. The record is from RNAcentral.